GACGAACGCUGGCGGCGUGCUUAACACAUGCAAGUCGAACGGAAAGGCCCUGCUUUUGUGGGGUGCUCGAGUGGCGAACGGGUGAGUAACACGUGAGUAACCUGCCCUUGACUUUGGGAUAACUUCAGGAAACUGGGGCUAAUACCGGAUAGGAGCUCCUGCUGCACGGGGGGGGUGGGAAAGUUUCGGCGUUUGGGGAUGGACUCGCGGCUUAUCAGCUUGUUGGUGGGGUAGUGGGUUACCAAGGCUUUGACGGGUAGCCGGCCUGAGAGGGUGACCGGCCCCAUUGGGCCUGGGGUACGGCCCAGACUCCUACGGGAGGCAGCAGUGGGGAAUAUUGCGCAAUGGGCGGAAGCCUGAUGCAGCAACGCCGCGUGCGGGAUGACGGCCUUCGGGUUGUAAACCGCUUUCGCCUGUGACGAAGCGUGAGUGACGGUAAUGGGUAAAGAAGCACCGGCUAACUACGUG
RNAcentral lists this ribosomal RNA (468 nucleotides) under uncultured bacterium. RNAcentral describes it as "partial 16S ribosomal RNA". It matches the Rfam family "Bacterial small subunit ribosomal RNA", at positions 28 to 507 of the family's 1533-position model. The record is from RNAcentral.